Lemur catta (Ring-tailed lemur) is the source of this 104-nucleotide small nucleolar RNA. RefSeq annotates it as small nucleolar RNA U13. The transcript has a single exon. The record is from RefSeq and is a predicted model, not a curated record. NCBI's taxonomy places the organism in Eukaryota, Metazoa, Chordata, Mammalia, Primates, Lemuridae.
AUCCUUUUGUAGUUACUAAGCGUGAUGAUUGGGUUUUCACGCACAUGCAUGAGAUUCACCUCUCUCAAUUAUUGCUACAAUGUUGGCACAUUACCAGUCUAACA